GGCUUAGGAUGAACGCUAGCGACAGGCCUAACACAUGCAAGUCAGGGGCAGCGACAAGGAGCAAUCUGAGGUGGCGACCGGCGGCACGGGUGAGUAACACGUAUGCAACCUGCCUGUAAGCGGGGAAUAACCCGUUGAAAGACGGACUAAUACCGCAUAAUACUAAAUUACUGCAUGGUAAUUUAUUUAAACAUUUAUGGCUUACAGAUGGGCAUGCGCAUGAUUAGCUAGUUGGAGAGGUAACGGCUCCCCAAGGCAACGAUCAUUAGGGGUUCUGAGAGGAAGGUCCCCCACACUGGUACUGAGACACGGACCAGACUCCUACGGGAGGCAGCAGUGAGGAAUAUUGGUCAAUGGACGAGAGUCUGAACCAGCCAAGUCGCGUGCAGGAAGAAUGUCCCUAUGGAUUGUAAACUGCUUUUGCAGGGGAAUAAAGUGCAUCACGUGUGAUGUUUUGUAUGUACUCUGCGAAUAAGGAUCGGCUAACUCCGUGCCAGCAGCCGC
Molecule: ribosomal RNA, 504 nt
Filed under: uncultured bacterium
Lineage: Bacteria
Description: bacterial SSU rRNA
Rfam family: Bacterial small subunit ribosomal RNA
Source: RNAcentral